RNAcentral lists this ribosomal RNA (332 nucleotides) under uncultured bacterium. RNAcentral's name for it is "bacterial SSU rRNA". It matches the Rfam family "Bacterial small subunit ribosomal RNA", at positions 29 to 383 of the family's 1533-position model. The record is from RNAcentral.
AAUGAACGCUGGCGGCAGGCCUAAAACAUGCAAGUCGAGCGCCCUAGCAAUAGGGAGCGGCGCACGGGUGAGUAACACGUGGGAAUAUGCCUUUUGGUACGGAACAACGUUUGGAAACGAACGCUAAUACCGUAUGGUCCCUUCGGGGUAAAGAUUUAUCGCCAAAAGAUUAGCCCGCGUUAGAUUAGCUAGUUGGUAGGGUAAUGGCCUACCAAGGCGACGAUCUAUAGCUGGUCUGAGAGGACGAUCGAGCCACACGUGGGACUGAGACACCGGCCCAGACUCCGUACGGGAGGCAGCUAGUUAGGAAUUAUUGGACAAGUGGGCGACAA